This 207-nucleotide ribosomal RNA is filed under the name Triticum aestivum (bread wheat). RNAcentral's name for it is "partial small subunit ribosomal RNA". Lineage: Eukaryota; Viridiplantae; Streptophyta; Magnoliopsida; Poales; Poaceae. The record is from RNAcentral.
GGGGACCGCCGGACAGUUCGUGAGGUGUUGGCCCUCUCAAAAGCCAAUUCCCCGGGGCAGAUCUUCCUAUCAGAAACACGACAAGCCUUUAGUCAUAUGGAAAAGCUUAAAAGGAGAUUGAAUAUGAAGGGUUUUGCGGGUGUGUCCGGUGCUGGCCUUAGUGGAGGGCUUGCAUUAUUUUGGGAUGAAAAUUUGCAAGUAACAGUG